GGAGUGGGCCACGCGUCCGCUCCCGCGCAAGCGGGGGAGGAAAGUCCGAGCUCCAUAGGGCAGGGCGCUGGGUAACACCCAGGCGGGGCGACCCGACGGAAAGUGGCACAGAAACACACCGCCCUGCAUCGCUUUGGCGAAGCGGGGCAAGGGUGAAAUGGUGCGGUAAGAGCGCACCAGCGGUGUGGCAACACACCGGCUGGCCAAACCCCGCCCGGAGCAAGGCCAAAUAGGGGGCGACCGGCCGCGUCCGCUGCGGCGGAUCGCGGACGGCGGUGUCGGCCCGACGCCGCAUUAGCCCCGGGUUGGCCGCAUGAGGCGCCGGGCAACCGGCGUCCUAGAUAGAUGGACGCGCGCGACAGAACUCGGCUUAUCGGCCCACUCCACUU
RNAcentral lists this RNase P RNA (389 nucleotides) under Bacillota bacterium. RNAcentral's name for it is "Firmicutes bacterium (hot springs metagenome) RNase P RNA component class A". It matches the Rfam family "Bacterial RNase P class A". From Rfam's summary of the family: Ribonuclease P (RNase P) is a ubiquitous endoribonuclease, found in archaea, bacteria and eukarya as well as chloroplasts and mitochondria. Its best characterised activity is the generation of mature 5'-ends of tRNAs by cleaving the 5'-leader elements of precursor-tRNAs. Lineage: Bacteria; Bacillati; Bacillota. The record is from RNAcentral.